CCCAAGCUAUUAUUUUCCUUAUACAUUUAAUAUAAUUAAUACAGUUAAUAUAAUUUCCUUGUCUGAACUAGAGAAAUUGACUAGAUAAAGCCAUUCUAAGAGAAAAGACACGCAUUUUCAGACCGAAGAAUCUGUUUGCUCUACAGGUUUUUCCCAGAUGAGAUGCCUUCUCAGCCAAAAUUUGAAGUCCUGCCAGAAAGCGGAGGAGGAAGAAAUACCUUACCUGCUAAAAUUCUUUCUGAAGGGUAGAAGGAAGCUCACAUCCUCUCAGUGCACAUCUUCAGCAAAAAGUGUGCACAACCAGUACAUUGUAGAAUAAUGGAAGAUAGAUCUAUCUGAAAAAGGCCUCAGGAGGUCAUCUUAGCCAUUACCUCAUCUCCAGGCAGGACUGACCUCUACUUCAGAUUUGAAACAGGAUCUAUGUGGCUGCUGUGUGCUGCUGCGAUUGGAGGGGUGACUGGGGAGAUGCUCCAUUCCUGGAAAACGUUUCCUACUUCCUGCCAGACCUGGACAAGAUGAAUUAGUACUGAAAGAUCCCGCAGCAAAAAGCCUUUGAAGCUCACUUCUUAAGGUGCCGCUGUGACAACAGAUAAAAUGAGCUGGCAGAAAGGAAAGAAGGAACUUACAGAAGAAAGCACAGGAGAUGGGAAACACAGCCGGAAAAAGAGGGAGCGAAUAUUUAAGAAACGAUUAUCUGGACUGAGCCUCUUCUCUGGGUCUCCCAGGAAUAAACUCCCUCAGGGAAGGAGUCAGAGUUUUGAAGACAAGAAGAGAUGCUUACACAGGAAAGGCUCCAAAAAGCUGAAGCCGGCACGGGAGGAAAUCUGUUCUUUAAGGCAACCACACUCUGGAAAAAUGUGCCCGAAAUGUGAAAUCCUUGUCUGCCGAAAAUGUGAGACGCUGCAUUCAGAAAGCAGCUUCAUUGCUCACAGCCUGCUGGAUCACUACGACAGAGGAGGAUGUGGCAGCUCUACUACAUUGAUUACAAAAAGCCAGAAAGUGUGCAGAUGCGAUUAAAGAAAUACAGCAGGUGCCUUGUUGAUCCCUGACUACAUCCAAAAUGCCGAAGCUUGGAUCCAUUUAGGCUGAACCCUCAGUCUGUACAAUCUGUAUCGCAGCAUCAGCAACUGCAGCUCUACUGCUGUUCGUACUUACCAUAAGUAGCAGAUACGCAUCCACUCAUUUAACCAGUAUAAAGUCUGUAAGUAGGAACUGUAAGUGUCUCAGCUGUUAAGAAAAGGAAAUGAUUUCAAACAGCUUCAAAGAGUUUUAUUUUUCCCUGCAAGGAAUGAAGAUUAUCACACUGAGCUGCGAAAGAGAAAGCAAGUAUUAAAUGCCAAACCAGCGGGUACAUUACAAUUGUUUGUAAUGUGUAGGUAUGUUUCAGUGUUACUUGUGGUCUGGAAUAUUAAACUUAUUUUUAAAUUAA
This is a non-coding RNA of Coturnix japonica (Japanese quail), 1429 nucleotides long. NCBI's taxonomy places the organism in Eukaryota, Metazoa, Chordata, Aves, Galliformes, Phasianidae. The record is from RefSeq and is a predicted model, not a curated record.